GGGGGCGUUUUGGAUUCGACGGGGGUUGGAUAGGUGAGAGUUGCGAGUCCGGGCCCAUGCACCCGGUCAACAACGUGGAACGGCUAUAAAUGCCAACGAUAAUUACGCUCUCGCUGCUUAAUUAAAGCAGCGUGUCCGCUGGAUCCGAGCCUGUAGGAACCAGUCCGGGCAUCAAUUAAUCAGGCUACCGACCCCACGGUAGGCACUGCCAAAGGGGAAGGGAAUAACAACAGUGCUAGUGCAGUAGCAUCCUGUCUCAGGGAGGCCGCUGCAUGAAAUUAAAUCUGAGGCUACACUCGUAGACGCUUUCGCUAGUCUGCCUGCGGACAGGGGUUCGACUCCCCUCGCCUCCACCA
Molecule: transfer-messenger RNA, 356 nt
Filed under: Dethiobacter alkaliphilus
Lineage: Bacteria; Bacillati; Bacillota; Dethiobacteria; Dethiobacterales; Dethiobacteraceae
Also listed under: 1 other name
Description: Standard tmRNA
Rfam family: transfer-messenger RNA
About the family: Bacterial tmRNA, also known as 10Sa RNA or SsrA, is named for its dual tRNA and mRNA-like properties. Its role is to liberate the mRNA from a stalled ribosome.
Source: RNAcentral